RNAcentral lists this long non-coding RNA (346 nucleotides) under Nicotiana benthamiana. Its description in RNAcentral is "long non-coding RNA (NBEN_LNC018971)". Lineage: Eukaryota; Viridiplantae; Streptophyta; Magnoliopsida; Solanales; Solanaceae. The record is from RNAcentral.
CUUCAAGAUGACUAUCACAGAAAUGCUAUAUAGUAUAUGGUUAGAGAGAAAUGCAAGAAUUUUUGAAAACAUUUAUUGUAAUAGUGAUAAACUCCUAUGUAGCAUAGCCUAUAUUUGUAAUGUUCGAGCUCCUCCUAGGCUUAGUUCACAUAUUCAGCAUUGAGUGAUAAACUCCUAAGUAGCAUAGCCUAUAUUUGUAAUGUUCGAGCUCCUCCUAGGCUUAGUUUACAUAUUCAGCAUUUUAUGAUAUAAAUGCUGAAUAUUAGAGUAGCAUAGAUACUUCAUGUUCUAAGUUGAUAGGCAGUUAAGAUUAAACUGUCCUAUGAUUUUGUAAGGCAUCCUUUUG